CGAACGCUGGCGGCGUGCUUAACACAUGCAAGUCGCACGGAAAGGCCCUGCUUUUGUGGGGUGCUCGAGUGGCGAACGGGUGAGUAACACGUGAGUAACCUGCCCUUGACUUGGGGAUAACUUCAGGAAACUGGGGCUAAUACCGGAUAGGAGCUCCUGCUGCAUGGUGGGGGUUGGAAAGUUUCGGCGGUUGGGGAUGGACUCGCGGCUUAUCAGCUUGUUGGUGGGGUAGUGGCUUACCAAGGCUUUGACGGGUAGCCGGCCUGAGAGGGUGACCGGCCACAUUGGGACUGAGAUACGGCCCAGACUCCUACGGGAGGCAGCAGUGGGGAAUAUUGCACAAUGGGCGGAAGCCUGAUGCAGCAACGCCGCGUGCGGGAUGACGGCCUUCGGGUUGUAAACCGCUUUCGCCUGUGACGAAGCGUGAGUGACGGUAAUGGGUAAAGAAGCACCGGCUAACUACGUG
Molecule: ribosomal RNA, 466 nt
Filed under: uncultured bacterium
Lineage: Bacteria
Description: partial 16S ribosomal RNA
Rfam family: Bacterial small subunit ribosomal RNA
Source: RNAcentral